Molecule: ribosomal RNA, 254 nt
Filed under: uncultured bacterium
Lineage: Bacteria
Description: partial 16S ribosomal RNA
Rfam family: Bacterial small subunit ribosomal RNA
Source: RNAcentral
UACGGAGGGUGCAAGCGUUAUCCGGAUUCACUGGGUUUAAAGGGUGCGUAGGCGGGCAGGUAAGUCAGUGGUGAAAUCUCAGAGCUUAACUCUGAAACUGCCAUUGAUACUAUCUGUCUUGAAUGUUCUGGAGGUGAGCGGAAUAUGUCAUGUAGCGGUGAAAUGCUUAGAUAUGACAUAGAACACCAAUUGCGUAGGCAGCUCACUACGGAAAUAUUGACGCUGAGGCACGAAAAGCGUGAGGAUCAAACAGG